This 892-nucleotide ribosomal RNA is filed under the name Colletotrichum dematium. RNAcentral describes it as "LSU rRNA". It matches the Rfam family "Eukaryotic large subunit ribosomal RNA", at positions 38 to 961 of the family's 3401-position model. The record is from RNAcentral. Lineage: Eukaryota; Fungi; Ascomycota; Sordariomycetes; Glomerellales; Glomerellaceae.
GCAUAUCAAUAAGCGGAGGAAAAGAAACCAACAGGGAUUGCCCCAGUAACGGCGAGUGAAGCGGCAACAGCUCAAAUUUGAAAUCUGGCCCCAGGCCCGAGUUGUAAUUUGCAGAGGAUGCUUUUGGCGCGGUGCCUUCCGAGUUCCCUGGAACGGGACGCCAUAGAGGGUGAGAGCCCCGUACGGUUGGACACCAAGCCUUUGUAAAGCUCCUUCGACGAGUCGAGUAGUUUGGGAAUGCUGCUCUAAAUGGGAGGUAUAUUUCUUCUAAAGCUAAAUAUAGGCCAGAGACCGAUAGCGCACAAGUAGAGUGAUCGAAAGAUGAAAAGCACUUUGAAAAGAGGGUUAAACAGCACGUGAAAUUGUUGAAAGGGAAGCGCUUGUGACCAGACUUGCGUCCGGUGAAUCACCCAGCUCUCGCGGCUGGGGCACUUUGCCGGCACAGGCCAGCAUCAGCUCGCUGUCGGGGACAAAAGCUUCGGGAACGUAGCUCUCUUCGGGGAGUGUUAUAGCCCGUUGCAUAAUACCCUUCGGUGGGCUGAGGUACGCGCUCCGCAAGGAUGCUGGCGUAAUGGUCAUCAGCGACCCGUCUUGAAACACGGACCAAGGAGUCAACCUUAUGUGCGAGUGUUUGGGUGUUAAACCCCUACGCGUAAUGAAAGUGAACGCAGGUGAGAGCUUCGGCGCAUCAUCGACCGAUCCUGAUGUUCUCGGACGGAUUUGAGUAAGAGCAUAUAGGGUUGGACCCGAAAGAAGGUGAACUAUGCGUGUAUAGGGUGAAGCCAGAGGAAACUCUGGUGGAGGCUCGCAGCGGUUCUGACGUGCAAAUCGAUCGUCAAAUAUGCGCAUGGGGGCGAAAGACUAAUCGAACCUUCUAGUAGCUGGUUUCCGC